GAUUAAAUGGCUGAAGUUUAGGCAAUAAAUUGUAAAUUUAUGUAUAAGAAAUAUUCUUUUUAAUCA
Molecule: transfer RNA, 66 nt
Filed under: Aedes albopictus (Asian tiger mosquito)
Lineage: Eukaryota; Metazoa; Arthropoda; Insecta; Diptera; Culicidae
Description: tRNA-Tyr
Source: RNAcentral